RNAcentral lists this transfer-messenger RNA (142 nucleotides) under Candidatus Pelagibacteraceae bacterium. RNAcentral describes it as "partial transfer-messenger RNA". It matches the Rfam family "Alphaproteobacteria transfer-messenger RNA", at positions 169 to 355 of the family's 355-position model. From Rfam's summary of the family: Bacterial tmRNA, also known as 10Sa RNA or SsrA, is named for its dual tRNA and mRNA-like properties. Its role is to liberate the mRNA from a stalled ribosome. Lineage: Bacteria; Pseudomonadati; Pseudomonadota; Alphaproteobacteria; Candidatus Pelagibacterales; Candidatus Pelagibacteraceae. The record is from RNAcentral.
GGUGUCUAAAAGCUAUUCUUUCGUUCGGUAUUGUUCCGCCGUAAUGGGCUAAAUUAUAAUUGCAAAUGAUAAAUUUGCUCUCGCUGCUUAAUUUAUAUUAAGAAAGCGCGGUUUGGGGCACCGGGCAACAGAACGCCCCUUA